This 673-nucleotide long non-coding RNA is filed under the name Oryza brachyantha (malo sina). RNAcentral's name for it is "long non-coding RNA (OBRA_LNC002961)". The record is from RNAcentral. Lineage: Eukaryota; Viridiplantae; Streptophyta; Magnoliopsida; Poales; Poaceae.
UUGAAUCUUAAGCAGAAAAAUCAACAGCAGGAAUGAAUAAAAUUGGUUGGGAUCUCGGUUAGAACUCCCUAUGGCACAAGCUAUCCUAACCCCAGAUAUUGCAAUAAUAACGCAAAAACGUGUUCAGAGAAUGUGUAUGAUCUGAGUCCCUCUCUCGAGUGGUAGCCACGCUAGUGGCUGUUAUCAUGUGGGCGCGACGGUGAGCUUGUCGGGUUUCAUAGAUGGCAACAUGAUUUGGACAGCAUUAUGACUUGGAAUGUGUUGUUCUGAUGAGAAAUAAGGGCUGAAAGUUAGUCUGCUUGGUUAGAUGAGAUGUCAUCGAAAAUCCCCAUGAAUUCCCUAUGCUUCCUAGCCCUAUGAAUUAUGAUUGAUAUUUUCUCGUGUGUAUAUAUAACGUUUAUGUAUUGAUAGGCAGUAUCGAGAGCAAAUGGGUUUAGAGGCAUCGCCACCAUAGCCCUAUGAUUGAUAUUUUCUAAAUGAGGUGCUUAUUUGCAACUAAAGGGACUAAACAGGGAAUCAAACAGGGCCCACCCGACCACCAGACCACCCGCGCACCUCUUCGGCCUCAUCUCGCACUCGCGCACCUCCCCGACCUGACGCAAAUCUGCCACCGCCGGCUCAAUCUGCCCGCCCAGCCACCACCACGCCUCAGUCUGUCUUCCCGACGCAAGGC